RNAcentral lists this ribosomal RNA (809 nucleotides) under uncultured fungus. RNAcentral describes it as "eukaryotic LSU rRNA". It matches the Rfam family "Eukaryotic large subunit ribosomal RNA", at positions 151 to 821 of the family's 3401-position model. The record is from RNAcentral. Lineage: Eukaryota; Fungi.
UAAAGAAGCGUUUUCGGUGGCAGCCUGGGUAUAAAUCCUUUGGAAUAGGGUAUCAUAGAGGGUGAGAAUCCCGUCUUUGACUCAGUGAAUGCUACUAUGUGAUACGUUUUCAAAGAGUCGAGUUGUUUGGGAAUGCAGCUCAAAAUGGGUGGUAAAUUUCAUCUAAAGCUAAAUAUUGGCGAGAGACCGAUAGCGAACAAGUACCGUGAGGGAAAGAUGAAAAGAACUUUGAAAAGAGAGUUAAACAGUACGUGAAAUUGUUGAAAGGGAAACGUUUGACACCAGUCAUGCGGGUGGGAAAUCAGUCUUUUAGCGUGGGGAGUGGUGGGGGUUCAGACCGCAAGGCUGGCCUUUAUCUCAUCUCUGCGCUAAUGGAUGCACUUUUUCAUUUGCAGGUCAACAUCAGUUUCUUCUGCUGGACAAAACUCUGAGAGAAGGUAGCAGCUUUGGCUGUGUUAUAGCUCUGGAGCGAUACAGCGGAGGGGACUGAGGCUUUCGCAGUGUGUGCUUUCGGGCAAGGUUGACUGGGUGCUAUGUGAUCGUUCGGUGUACAAUGCAUGCAUUUUGCGCCGUGUCUUUUGCAUACUCGCCUGAAUCGACUCUUCCACGCUUGGGAUGUUGACUUAAUGGUUUUAAACGACCCGUCUUGAAACACGGACCAAGGAGUCUAACAUAUAUGCAAGUGUUUGGGUGGCAAACCCAUACGCGUAAUGAAAGUGAACGUAGGUGCGAUCCGCAAGGUGCAGCAUCGACCGAUCUUGAUAUUUUUGGAUAGAUUUGAGUAAGAGCAUAUAUGCUGGGACCCGAAA